AACAAAUGGCCUUCACUACUAAGAAAGAAAACUUCCUGUCACAAAGAAAAAUAGACAUCCAACAUAUGGAAGAAGGACUUGUUACUCUUAAAAAGCUUUAUCAAUCAAUACAUGAAACAUAUAGAAAGCAAAUAAAAAUCCUGAAUGAAAACC
RNAcentral lists this long non-coding RNA (153 nucleotides) under Ictidomys tridecemlineatus (thirteen-lined ground squirrel). RNAcentral's name for it is "lncRNA (ENSSTOG00000032928.1)". The record is from RNAcentral. Lineage: Eukaryota; Metazoa; Chordata; Mammalia; Rodentia; Sciuridae.